This 414-nucleotide ribosomal RNA is filed under the name uncultured prokaryote. Its description in RNAcentral is "bacterial SSU rRNA". It matches the Rfam family "Bacterial small subunit ribosomal RNA", at positions 505 to 918 of the family's 1533-position model. The record is from RNAcentral.
GUGUCAGUAGCCGCGGUAAUACGUAGGUCCCGAACGUUGCGCGAAUUUACUGGGCGUAAAGGGUCCGUAGGCGGUCUGGUAAGUGGAAGGUGAAAUCCUGGGGCUCAACUCCAGAAUUGCCUUCCAAACUGCCGGACUUGAGGCAGGGAGAGGUCGGCGGAAUUCCCGGUGUCGAGGUGAAAUGCGUAGAUAUCGGGAGGAACAACAGUGGCGAAGGCGGCCGACUGGAACUGACCGGACGCUGAGGGACGAAAGCCAGGGGAGCGAACCGGAUUAGAUACCCGGGUAGUCCUGGCCGUAAACGAUGGAUGCUAGAUGUGGGCGGGGAGACCCGUCCGUGUCGCAAGCUAACGCGUUAAGCAUCCCGCCUGGGGAGUACGGCCGCAAGGUUGAAACUUAAAGGAAUUGACGGGG